This is a long non-coding RNA of Sapajus apella (tufted capuchin), 425 nucleotides long. RefSeq lists it as uncharacterized. The transcript has 3 exons. The record is from RefSeq and is a predicted model, not a curated record. NCBI's taxonomy places the organism in Eukaryota, Metazoa, Chordata, Mammalia, Primates, Cebidae.
GGGACAGGUCGUACUGCUUUUGUGCGCCGUUUCCUCUCCCUCCGCCAGCUUGAGAAGCAGCUUUCGUCUCUGGGGUCGAUCGCCUACGAACGGGCCGAAUUCUACGCCAGCUGUGAGGACCCUUGGCUGGGCCUUUCUUUCUCCCGGGACACUGAAGCACCGAAGAGUACCCACAGCCUCGCCCUCCCCAAACGCUAGCCCUGAAGGGGAAGAAAAGAAGCGAGGCUUGUCUCUUCCCUGGACACAGGCAAAUGUUUUUGUCUUCAGAAGGGGAACUGAGCUGAGAGGCAAAGGACCAUGAUUUUGCAAUGACUGGACGGAGUACAGUGGAAUGAUCCUGGCUUGUUGCAAACUCUGCUUCCCGGGCUUAAGUGAUUCUUCUGCCUCAGCCUAUGGAGUAGCUGGAAUUACAGGCAUGCCACCAC